CCUACGGGUGGCAGCAGUGAGGAAUAUUGGUCAAUGGGCGGGAGCCUGAACCAGCCAAGUCGCGUGAGGGAAGAAGGCCCUACGGGUUGUAAACCUCUUUUGCCGGGGGACAACACCCGCCACGUGUGGCCGUAAGCAGGUACCUGGAGAAAAAGCGUCGGCUAACUCCGUGCCAGCAGCCGCGGUAAUACGGAGGAUUCGAGCGUUAUCCGGAUUUAUUGGGGUUAAAGGGUGCGCAGGCGGCGGGUCAAGUCAGCGGUAAAAUGGCGGGGCUCAACCCCGUCCGGCCGUUGAAACUGGCGGCCUUGAGUUGGAGAGAAGUAUGCGGAAUUCGUGGUGUAGCGGUGAAAUGCAUAGAUAUCACGAAGAACCCCGAUUGCGAAGGCAGCAUACCGGCGCGCAACUGACGCUGAGGCACGAAAGCGUGGGUAUCGAACAGGAUUAGAUACCCUUGUAGUC
This 459-nucleotide ribosomal RNA is filed under the name uncultured bacterium. RNAcentral describes it as "partial 16S ribosomal RNA". It matches the Rfam family "Bacterial small subunit ribosomal RNA", at positions 338 to 795 of the family's 1533-position model. The record is from RNAcentral.